Triticum urartu is the source of this 126-nucleotide non-coding RNA. The record is from Rfam. NCBI's taxonomy places the organism in Eukaryota, Viridiplantae, Streptophyta, Magnoliopsida, Poales, Poaceae.
GUUAUACUCCCUCCGUUCGAAAAAACUUGUCCCGAACUUGUUACUCAAAUGGAUGUAUCUAGCACUAACUUGGUGCUAGAUACAUCCAUUUAAGGGACAAGUUUUUUCGGACAGAGGAAGUAUGAU